ACGCUUAAUGCCGCCCUGCGGCAGCGGGAGACCCAUUUUUUGGGGUGAAUCCGAUGGCAGCAUCGGUAGGGGACCUUCUUCCCCGAACCCGACAGCUAAUCUCGUCAGCGCGGAAGGG
Molecule: small RNA, 118 nt
Filed under: human gut metagenome
Description: ydaO/yuaA leader
Rfam family: c-di-AMP riboswitch aptamer (ydaO/yuaA leader)
About the family: This family represents a conserved RNA structure found upstream of the ydaO and yuaA genes in Bacillus subtilis and related genes in other bacteria. The ydaO/yuaA element is thought to act as a genetic "off" switch for the ydaO and yuaA genes in its native state.
Source: RNAcentral